Molecule: ribosomal RNA, 401 nt
Filed under: uncultured cyanobacterium
Lineage: Bacteria; Bacillati; Cyanobacteriota
Description: bacterial SSU rRNA
Rfam family: Bacterial small subunit ribosomal RNA
Source: RNAcentral
ACAGACCGCGUGGGGGAAGAAGGCUCUUGGGUUGUAAACCCCUUUUCUCUGGGAAGAAAGUUGUGAAAGCAACCUGACGGUACCAGAGGAAUCAGCAUCGGCUAACUCCGUGCCAGCAGCCGCGGUAAGACGGAGGAUGCAAGCGUUAUCCGGAAUGAUUGGGCGUAAAGCGUCCGCAGGUGGCAGUUCAAGUCUGCUGUCAAAGACCGGGGCUUAACUUCGGAAAGGCAGUGGAAACUGAACAGCUAGAGUAUGGUAGGGGCAGAGGGAAUUCCUGGUGUAGCGGUGAAAUGCGUAGAGAUCAGGAAGAACAUCGGUGGCGAAGGCGCUCUGCUGGACCAUAACUGACACUCAGGGACGAAAGCUAGGGGAGCGAAUGGGAUUAGAUACCCCAGUAGUCA